This 65-nucleotide transfer RNA is filed under the name Polycarpa mytiligera. RNAcentral describes it as "transfer RNA-Pro". The record is from RNAcentral. Lineage: Eukaryota; Metazoa; Chordata; Ascidiacea; Stolidobranchia; Styelidae.
CAGAAGUUAGUUUAAAAUAAAACGUAAGUUUUGGGGAUUUAAAAUGGGUGGAACCCCACUUUUGA